RNAcentral lists this ribosomal RNA (406 nucleotides) under uncultured bacterium. RNAcentral's name for it is "partial 16S ribosomal RNA". It matches the Rfam family "Bacterial small subunit ribosomal RNA", at positions 28 to 526 of the family's 1533-position model. The record is from RNAcentral.
GAUGAACGCUGGCGGCGUGCCUAAUACAUGCAAGUCGAGCGAGCGGCGGACGGGUGAGUAAUGUCUGGGAAACUGCCUGAUGGAGGGGGAUAACUACUGGAAACGGUAGCUAAUACCGCAUACCAUCAGAUGUGCCCAGAUGGGAUUAGCUAGUAGGUGGGGUAACGGCUCACCUAGGCGACGAUCCCUAGCUGGUCUGAGAGGAUGACCAGCAACACUGGAACUGAGACACGGUCCAGACGCCGACGGGAGGGAGCAGUGGGGAAUAGUGCACAAUGGGCGCGAGCCUGAUGCAGCCAUGCCGCGUGUAUGAAGAAGGCCUUCGGGUUGUGAAGUACUUUCAGCGGGGAGGCAUUACCCGCAGAAGAAGCACCGGCUAACACCGGGCCAGCAGCCGCGGUAAAAG